GAAAUGCGAUAAGUAAUGCGAAUUGCAGAAUUCAGUGAAUCAUCGAAUCUUUGAACGCACAUUGCGCCCCCCAGUACUCUGGGAGGCACGCCUGUCUGAGCGUCAUUGCUGCCCUUCAAGCCCGGCUUGUGUGUUGGGUCGUCGUCCCCUCCGGGGGACGGGCCCGAAAGGCAGCGGCGGCACCGCGUCCGGUCCUCGAGCGUAUGGGGCUUUGUCACCCGCUCGAUAAGGACCGGCCGGGCGCCAGCCGGCGUCUCCAACCUUUUUUUCUCAGGUUGACCUCGGAUCAGGUAGGGAUACCCGCUGAACUUAAGC
Molecule: unclassified non-coding RNA, 315 nt
Filed under: plant metagenome
Description: partial contains 5.8S ribosomal RNA, internal transcribed spacer 2, and large subunit ribosomal RNA
Rfam family: 5.8S ribosomal RNA (bases 1-105)
Source: RNAcentral